Molecule: transfer-messenger RNA, 370 nt
Filed under: Flavobacteriales
Lineage: Bacteria; Pseudomonadati; Bacteroidota; Flavobacteriia
Also listed under: 2 other names
Description: GCA-2705205 sp002705205 Standard tmRNA
Rfam family: transfer-messenger RNA
About the family: Bacterial tmRNA, also known as 10Sa RNA or SsrA, is named for its dual tRNA and mRNA-like properties. Its role is to liberate the mRNA from a stalled ribosome. To accomplish this part of the tmRNA is used as a reading frame that ends in a translation stop signal.
Source: RNAcentral
GGGGCUGACUGGAUUUGACAGCAAGUGCAUUUCUUAGCAAGCAUGUCGAGCAUUGUAUUUUAGCUCGUAAAUAUUAAAAUUCAAAUUUUUUAAUUGGCGAAAAUAAUUACGCUUUAGCUGCCUAAUUUAUAUAAUUAAGUAAGCUUUUGUCUCUUUUAUAGGACAUCCUGAUUCCUGUAGAAAAUGAGGCAUAAUCAAUUUCAGGAUAGUUAAUCUAUUGCUUUUAUAGAUUAAUGAAACUUCAAAAAGCUAAGGUUAAGGUUUGGUUGCAACUUCCCUACCUUCUCACAAAAACUAAAAGCUGAUAAGCAUGUAGAAAGUUAUUUAAUUCCUUGUUUGGACGGGGGUUCGAUACCCCCCAGCUCCACCA